RNAcentral lists this non-coding RNA (26 nucleotides) under Homo sapiens (human). The record is from RNAcentral. Lineage: Eukaryota; Metazoa; Chordata; Mammalia; Primates; Hominidae.
ACAAGGGUAGUGUGCUAUAAGGGUGU